GUCCGAGUUUCGAAGUAUGCCGUUUGUUUUCAUAACAUAAUUUAUACGCCGCCAUUUCACGGUCGUGUCUGAUUGGUUGGUUGUUUUCUCGUUGUGGAAUGUGGGCGAAAAUUUCAAGUAUAAGUGGGCGGAAUUGAUUUUUAUUAAGGACGGUUGCAGGCACUUUAUAUUUCCUUCGCCUGUUUGUUUCUCGCCGUUUUUUUCUUCGCCCGUUUUUUUCUAACCCGCCAUUCAGUCAAUAAUCCUCAAAACCUCCAAUAAAAUAAAGCGACUGCUACGCAGGCUACGGGCGUUGUGGCGUAUUUUUCGGGCUAAAAUGAAUACAUUUGCAUGGCGG
Non-coding RNA from Paramuricea clavata, 337 nucleotides. The record is from the annotation of a GenBank genome assembly. NCBI's taxonomy places the organism in Eukaryota, Metazoa, Cnidaria, Anthozoa, Malacalcyonacea, Plexauridae.